GAAAGUUUAGCCGAAAAGGGGCGGGGGAGCGGUUGGCUCUGCGCACGCGCAGUUUCCGUUCUUGAUCUCCUUUUGGCGCCCUGGGGCAGCGAGAGACCGUGAGAAAUUUCCCGGCGGCGCAGAAGAUGCGCGCCACUUCCGGUCGGGCUCCUAACAACGGGGGAGGCUGGUAACCAGGGUGGGGGGGAUGGCGGAGCGGGCGCCGGAGCCCGAGGCGGAGGCUGAGGCGGGCGGGGAGGCAGCCACCGAGGAGGGCGCAGCAGGCCGCAAGGCGCGGGGCCGGCCGCGACUCACGGAGUCGGACCGGGCCCGGCGACGGCUCGAGUCCCGGAAGAAGUACGACGUGCGGCGCGUGUACCUGGGCGAGGCGCACGGGCCCUGGGUGGACCUGCGGCGCCGCAGCGGCUGGAGCGACGCCAAGCUCGCUGCCUACCUCAUCUCUCUGGAGCGCGGCCAGCGGAGCGGCCGCCACGGGAAGCCUUGGGAGCAGGUCCCCAAAAAGCCAAAGCGGAAGAAAAGGCGGCGACGCAACGUGAACUGCCUGAAGAACGUGGUGAUCUGGUACGAGGACCACAAGCACCGCUGCCCGUAUGAGCCGCACCUGGCGGAGCUAGACCCCACCUUCGGCCUGUAUACCACGGCCGUGUGGCAGUGCGAAGCUGGCCACCGCUACUUCCAGGACCUGCACUCGCCCCUGAAGCCCCUCAGCGACUCAGACCCCGACAGUGACAAAGUGGGCAAUGGGCUGGUGGCCAGCAGCUCUGACUUGUCUGGCUCUGGCUCUGGCUCCGACUCUGAGGAGCGUCCUGAGGGCCAGCCAGUCAAGGGUGCAGCGGCGGCGGCGGCAGCAGUGACGCCCACCAGCGCGGUGGGCAGCAGCGGGCUUAUCACUCAGGAGGGCGUGCACAUCCCCUUUGACGUCCACCACGUGGAGAGCCUGGCCGAGCAGGGGACCCCGCUGUGCCCCAACCCAGCAGGCAGUGGGCCUGAAGCCCUGGAGACAGUGGUGUGCAUGCCAGUGCCCAUGCAAGUGGGUGCGGGCCCCGGCGCCCUCUUUGAGAACGUGCCUCAGGAGGCCCUGGGUGAGGUAGUAGCCAGCUGCCCCAUGCCAGGCAUGGUGCCUGGCUCACAGGUGAUCAUCAUCGCAGGCCCUGGCUACGACGCUCUCACAGCUGAGGGCAUUCACCUCAACAUGGCGGCAGGCAGCGGUGCCCCUGGCGGUGGCCUGGGCGAGGAGGUGCCCUGUGCCAUGAUGGAGGGCGUGGCGGCCUACACCCAGACAGAGCCCGAGGGCAGCCAGCCCAGCACCACGGAUGCCACUGCUGUAGUAGGCAUCGAGACCAAGAAAGAGAAGGAGGACCUGUGCUUGCUCAAGAAGGAGGAGAAAGAGGAGCCCGUAGCCCCGGAGCUGGCAAUGACGGUGCCUGAGAGCGCAGAGCCUGCAGCAGAGGUGGACGGUGGGGAGCUGGACGGCAGCGACAUGUCAGCCAUCAUCUACGAGAUCCCCAAGGAGCCCGAGAAGAGGCGGCGGAGCAAGCGGUCACGGGUGAUGGACGCUGACGGCCUGCUCGAGAUGUUCCACUGCCCAUACGAGGGCUGCAGCCAGGUUUAUGUGGCCCUCAGCAGCUUCCAGAGCCCCUUCAGUGGGCCUACGGGACCCACUCCUGCCCAUCUCGUCCCCAGAACCACGUCAACCUUGUUCAUCGGAAAGGAAAGACCAAAGUGUGUCCUCAUCCUGGCUGCGGCAAGAAGUUCUAUCUAUCCAACCACCUGCGGCGGCACAUGAUCAUCCAUUCAGGUGUCCGGGAAUUCACCUGUGAGACCUGCGGCAAGUCCUUUAAAAGGAAGAACCACCUGGAGGUACAUCGGCGCACUCACACCGGCGAGACCCCCCUGCAGUGUGAGAUCUGUGGCUACCAGUGCCGGCAGCGCGCGUCGCUCAACUGGCACAUGAAGAAGCACACGGCAGAGGUGCAGUACAACUUCACGUGUGAUCGCUGCGGGAAGCGCUUUGAGAAGCUGGACAGCGUCAAGUUCCACACGCUCAAAAGCCACCCAGACCACAAGCCCACUUGACCCACCUGACCACUGACCGCCCCUAUUUAUUCGUCCGCUCGGACACCAACCACGCCCAGGCCUGCCGGGGCCUGGACUGCUGCGAGGGCCGCCCAGACCGCGGGCCGGAAGGAGGCGCCCCCGCCCCACCCCAGGGCUGGGCCCCCUGGGCAGGUUCCCCACCCCGCCCCACCGCAUCCUUCUCUGAAGCUGGUGCCUGGGGCUGCAUUGCUGGAACUGUGUCAAGAGAGCAGAGCGAGAUUAAAGAGCGAGAAAGGAGAUGCCCUUUUCCUGGGCCUGAAUAA
Sapajus apella (tufted capuchin) is the source of this 2360-nucleotide RNA transcript. It is a transcript of the gene named zinc finger protein 653, with no coding region annotated. Lineage: Eukaryota; Metazoa; Chordata; Mammalia; Primates; Cebidae. The record is from RefSeq and is a predicted model, not a curated record. The transcript has 9 exons.